RNAcentral lists this ribosomal RNA (467 nucleotides) under uncultured Streptococcus sp. RNAcentral describes it as "bacterial SSU rRNA". It matches the Rfam family "Bacterial small subunit ribosomal RNA", at positions 917 to 1381 of the family's 1533-position model. Lineage: Bacteria; Bacillati; Bacillota; Bacilli; Lactobacillales; Streptococcaceae. The record is from RNAcentral.
ACGGGGCCGCACAAGCGGUGGAGCAUGUUGGUUUAAUUCGAAGCAACGCGAAGUAACUUUACCAGGUCUUGACAUCCCGAUGCUAUUUCUAGAGAUAGAAAGUUACUUCGGUACAUCGGUGACAGGUGGUGCAUGGUUGUCGUCAGCUCGUGUCGUGAGAUGUUGGGUUAAGUCCCGCAACGAGCGCAACCCCUAUUGUUAGUUGCCAUCAUUCAGUUGGGCACUCUAGCGAGACUGCCGGUAAUAACCGGAGGAAGGUGGGGAUGACGUCAAAUCAUCAUGCCCCUUAUGACCUGGGCUACACACGUGCUACAAUGGUUGGUACAACGAGUUGCGAGUCGGUGACGGCGAGCUAAUCUCUUAAAGCCAAUCUCAGUUCGGAUUGUAGGCUGCAACUCGCCUACAUGAAGCCGGAAUCGCUAGUAAUCGCGGAUCAGCACGCCGCGGUGAAUACGUUCCCGGGCCUU